UACGGGGGGGGCAAGCGUUGUUCGGAAUUACUGGGCGUAAAGGGCUCGUAGGCGGCCAACUAAGUCGGAUGUGAAAUCCCCAGGCUUAACCUGGGAACUGCAUCCGAUACUGGAUGGCUUGAAUCCGGGAGAGGGAUGCAGAAUUCCAGGUGUAGCGGUGAAAUGCGUAGAUAUCUGGAGGAAUACCGGUGGCGAAGGCGGCAUCCUGGACCAACACUGACGCUGAGGUGCGAAAGCGUGGGGAGCAAACAGG
Molecule: ribosomal RNA, 253 nt
Filed under: uncultured bacterium
Lineage: Bacteria
Description: partial 16S ribosomal RNA
Rfam family: Bacterial small subunit ribosomal RNA
Source: RNAcentral